CCUAAUACAUGCAAGUCGAGGGGUAACAUGUCUGCUUGCAGAUGAUGACGACCGGCGCACGGGUGCGUAACGCGUAUGCAACCUACCUAUAACAGAGGGAUAGCCCAGAGAAAUUUGGAUUAAUACCUCAUGACACUGUGAGACCACAUGGUUUUAUAGUUAAAACUCCGGUGGUUAUAGAUGGGCAUGCGUUAGAUUAGCUAGUUGGUAAGGUAACGGCUUACCAAGGCAACGAUCUAUAGGGGGUCUGAGAGGAUGGUCCCCCACACUGGAACUGAGACACGGUCCAGACUCCUACGGGAGGCAGCAGUAGGGAAUAUUGGUCAAUGGAGGCAACUCUGAACCAGCCAUGCCGCGUGUAGGAAGAAGGCGUUCUGCGUCGUAAACUACUUUUAUAUGGGAAGAAACGCUCUUUGCGAAGAGCUAUGACGGUACCAUAAGAAUAAGGACCGGCUAACUCCGUGCCAGCAGCCGCGGUAAUACGGAGGGUCCGAGCGUUGUCCGGAAUUAUUGGGUUUAAAGGGUACGUAGGCGGAAUAAUAAGUCAGAGGUGAAAUCCUGCAGCUCAACUGUAGAACUGCCUUUGAAACUGUUAUUCUUGAGUAUGGUAGGGGUAAGCGGAAUUUAUAAUGUAGCGGUGAAAUGCAUAGAUAUUAUAAAGAACACCGAUAGCGAAGGCAGCUUACUGGACCAUAACUGACGCUAAUGUACGAAAGCGUGGGUAGCGAACAGGAUUAGAUACCCUGGUAGUCCACGCCGUAAACGAUGCUCACUCGCUGUUGGC
This 784-nucleotide ribosomal RNA is filed under the name uncultured bacterium. RNAcentral's name for it is "bacterial SSU rRNA". It matches the Rfam family "Bacterial small subunit ribosomal RNA", at positions 47 to 827 of the family's 1533-position model. The record is from RNAcentral.